ACUCCUACGGGAGGCAGCAGUGGGGAAUCUUAGACAAUGGGGGCAACCCUGAUCUAGCCAUGCCGCGUGAGUGAUGAAGGCCCUAGGGUUGUAAAGCUCUUUCAGCAGGAGCGAAACGGUACGCUCUAACAUAGCGUGCUAAUGACGGUACCAGCAGAAGAAGCACCGGCUAACUACGUGCCAGCAGCCGCGGUAAU
This 197-nucleotide ribosomal RNA is filed under the name uncultured bacterium. RNAcentral's name for it is "partial 16S ribosomal RNA". It matches the Rfam family "Bacterial small subunit ribosomal RNA", at positions 335 to 524 of the family's 1533-position model. The record is from RNAcentral.